Molecule: ribosomal RNA, 460 nt
Filed under: uncultured bacterium
Lineage: Bacteria
Description: partial 16S ribosomal RNA
Rfam family: Bacterial small subunit ribosomal RNA
Source: RNAcentral
CCUACGGGUGGCAGCAGUGAGGAAUAUUGGUCAAUGGGCGGAAGCCUGAACCAGCCAAGUAGCGUGCAGGAUGACGGCCCUACGGGUUGUAAACUGCUUUUAUACGGGAAUAACGCGCCUUACGUGUAGGGUUUUGCAUGUACCGUAUGAAUAAGGAACGGCUAAUUCCGUGCCAGCAGCCGCGGUAAUACGGAAGGUCCGGGCGUUAUCCGGAUUUAUUGGGUUUAAAGGGAGCGUAGGCCGCAUGUCAAGCGUGCUGUGAAAUGUCCGGGCUCAACCCGGGCCUUGCAGCGCGAACCGGCGUGCUUGAGUCCGCGGAAGGCAGGCGGAAUUCGUCGUGUAGCGGUGAAAUGCUUAGAUAUGACGAAGAACCCCGAUGGCGAAGGCAGCUUGCUGCAGCGGAACUGACGCUGAUGCUCGAAAGCGCGGGUAUCGAACAGGAUUAGAUACCCGUGUAGUC